Molecule: long non-coding RNA, 1357 nt
Organism: Apis florea (little honeybee)
Lineage: Eukaryota; Metazoa; Arthropoda; Insecta; Hymenoptera; Apidae
Source: RefSeq, a predicted model, not a curated record
ACAUAUAUACAUUUAUGUAGUUCAUUGCCAGAAUCGUUGAAAUAGAUAAAUAUAAAAUUGUUGAUUCUAUACAUAAAUUGUGUAAUACAGAAAAGUGAUGACUAAUACAAAUGUCAUUUCCUAUUAUGUAUUAUACAAUUUAAGGUUAUUCUACUUCGAAAAGAAGGAUUAUCAUAUAUUUAUAAAAAUUUUUUUGAGUAUUUGAAUUAUGCAUUUGAAUAAUAAAACUUAGAUAUUUAUGAAAAAUAAAAAUGAUUUUUAUGAGUCUUUUUUCUCAAAUGAACAAUUAUGAAAAACACAAUAAUCGAUAUUUUCUAUUUUAAUCGAACAUGACACAUUAUAAACACGGAAAUUUCAUACGAUUCGAAAUACACAAUAGAAAACACUUUAUAAAACACCUAUGUCAAUCAAUUAUUACAAUUAAAGAAAUAACUUUUCCUUUCUUCUUGCCAUUCGAAAUGUACAAUUAUUUACGUCAAAUCCUUGAAAAUCCAUAAUAUAAAUAUUAUCAACAAAUCUUACACUACAAAAACACUUUUCACGUAUAAUAAAGUUUCACAAUUGCAAUUCCUUUCAUUAUAAAACACUUCUAUCAAUCCUCAUUUUCAAUCAGUGAAAAUUUUGUGCGUGAUUCUCAUAACCUCAAAAAACAAACUUCACUAAAAAUUCGCUCUAUUUUCGUGGCUUAUAUUUUACGGCUACGUGUAAGCCUACUCAACAUUGUUGACAUUGAAACGAAGUAUAAGCAGCGAAUUGAAGCAGUUGGACUGCGGCCAUUUUAACGGAAACGAUUCUUUCAUCUCGAUUCACCCUACAUCUCUACAUUGCGAUAUAUCGAUCUUUUUCUUCUCUUUUUCUCUUUUUUCUUUUUUUUUUACACUUUUCCAACGACUAAAUUCUUGUAAAAGUGAUAGAAUCAGACGAUAGCAAUUGAUGAUUAUUAUCACGGCGCAUCGAUGGCGGAAAUAUUAAGACGACGAUCGAAUAUUUGGCGCGAAUCCACCGAUCGCGUGCCAACAUAAUACGCGCGCGCGUGUGCACGAUAUGCGAACUUAAGGAAAAUUACAGGCUGUGCCUUGUCGAUCCGCGAUUUACACGCUUUAGUUUCGCUUUAUGCCUGACAGAGUCUUCUACUAUACGCCUCGUUCUUUCUUUUUAUCACUUUCGUUCGAAUAUAUUAAAAAAAUCCUCCUUUUUUUUCUUACGAAGGAAGAAAAGUGAUUGGUCGAUCAUAUCGGUAAAUUAAUUUCGUUUGAGUUCGUAUACGAUUCACCGACCGGAAUAAUAGAAUUGUCGUCGAGGAAGAAGUUAACUUUGAAAGGGAGAGAAUCUCAAAAAAAAAAAAAAAAAAAAGAAA